UACGUAGGUGGCAAGCGAUACUCGGAAUCACUAGGCGUAAAGCGCAGGUAGGCGGUUUGGUAAGUCUUUUGUGAAAGCUCCCGGCUUAACUGGGAGAGGUCAAGGGAAACUACCGGACUAGAGUGUGGUAGGGGAUACUGGAAUUCCUGUGUAGCGGUGAAAUGCGCAGAUAUCAGGAGGAACACCGGUGGCGAAGGCGGGUCUCUGGGCCGAUACUGACGCUGAGGAGCGAAAGCGUGGGGAGCGAACAGG
Molecule: ribosomal RNA, 252 nt
Filed under: uncultured bacterium
Lineage: Bacteria
Description: partial 16S ribosomal RNA
Rfam family: Bacterial small subunit ribosomal RNA
Source: RNAcentral